GAACCUUCGGGGAACGAUAACGGCGUCGAGCGGCGGACGGGUGAGUAAUGCCUAGGAAAUUGCCCUGAUGUGGGGGAUAACCAUUGGAAACGAUGGCUAAUACCGCAUGAUGCCUACGGGCCAAAGAGGGGGACCUUCGGGCCUCUCGCGUCAGGAUAUGCCUAGGUGGGAUUAGCUAGUUGGUGAGGUAAGGGCUCACCAAGGCGACGAUCCCUAGCUGGUCUGAGAGGAUGAUCAGCCACACUGGAACUGAGACACGGUCCAGACUCCUACGGGAGGCAGCAGUGGGGAAUAUUGCACAAUGGGCGCAAGCCUGAUGCAGCCAUGCCGCGUGUGUGAAGAAGGCCUUCGGGUUGUAAAGCACUUUCAGUCGUGAGGAAGGUAGUGUAGUUAAUAGCUGCAUUAUUUGACGUUAGCGACAGAAGAAGCACCGGCUAACUCCGUGCCAGCAGCCGCGGUAAUACGGAGGGUGCGAGCGUUAAUCGGAAUUACUGGGCGUAAAGCGCAUGCAGGUGGUUUGUUAAGUCAGAUGUGAAAGCCCGGGGCUCAACCUCGGAAUUGCAUUUGAAACUGGCAGACUAGAGUACUGUAGAGGGGGG
Molecule: ribosomal RNA, 599 nt
Filed under: Vibrio parahaemolyticus
Lineage: Bacteria; Pseudomonadati; Pseudomonadota; Gammaproteobacteria; Vibrionales; Vibrionaceae
Description: bacterial SSU rRNA
Rfam family: Bacterial small subunit ribosomal RNA
Source: RNAcentral